UGGGAAUGGGCGGAGUCUUAUGGAGUUAUCUCCAGCCACAGCCGAGGGCCGGAUCCACACCUCCAUCUUCAGAAAUAACUCGCCACAUCUCUGCUUGCACUUUAGUUAACGAUGCGGCGGCGCUUUAGUGCUUUUAUUCUGUCGAGCGCUUUCAUUUGAGUCUGACGUUUGCUCUACUGCCGCUUUCAUUAAUUACAGCGAGCGGAAAAAAGAUAGUUCAUUUAUAGUGCAGAGGCUGAACCGCUGUGAAUGAGUGUGUGUGUGUGUGUGUGUGUGUGUGUGUGUGUGUGUGUGAGUGAAAGAGAGAGCCACAGUGUGUGUCCACUUCCUCUUCUGAGAAACCAGUGUCAUUCUGACGGGCAAGUAAUGCUGAAACGAGAGACUGAACCUGUCUGUCUGCGUGUCACUGGAUUUGACUCAAACACGUGACCCGCCUUUAAACACGAACGUUUACGGAGUCGGGCGACUGAAAUGAGAAUAUCAGAGACGUCAUUAUUUUGACAGUCGAUUAAUCAGAGGGUUAUUUAUUGAUUGAUCGGGCAGUUACAUUGUCGCUUAAUCGGACGGAUUUUUCACAUUGCUUAAUCAUAUGCUUAUUUUAGCGAUUAAUCGGACGGUUACAUCUUCACACACACACAUCCGGUAAACUCUCGCGUGUUCAUAAUGGAGAGAAGUCGAAGGCGCGCGAGUCUCCUGAUGACCACGACUUUGUCGCGUUUCGUUUCUACGGUUACAGAAAGCAGACGGGCUGACAGACAGACGCCGUAGUCUCGUACGUUAGCUGAACAAAGCUAGCUAGGUAAAAUAUCUCGCAUUAGCUAGCUAGGUCGUUGAUGUAGGAAUUAACUUGUUAACUUUCCUGAUGUGAUCGCUAGCGUCUUGGCCGACGUGAAAUCCACCGGAGGCGGAGCUCCUCGGACACGGUGUUCCUCCUGGCAGCCGGUGACGUUAAAAUCGUCCUCGGCUGGCGUGGGAAGGGUUCGACAGUUUCCCGGCGUACGCCCGGUGUGCUGGAGCUCCUGUGAAACAUGAUUGGUGUUUUAAUACAGAGUCGGGGUGAAGAUGCAGUAACGUAGUCCGUCGUUCUCAGAACAGCAGACGUUCCAGGUAUCGAGUGUUUACAUAGCUGUGUGUGUGUUUAAAGUGCGUUAUCUACAUCCUGUGUGACAGGACAAAGUCGCGUCCCGCUGUGAAAUCUGGAAAGCGGCGAUAGCUGCGAGCGAUCGAUGUGUCUCAGGGACGUUCAGUCAGGAUCACUUCCUCCACCUGCUCACACCGUUAAUCCCAAACACUUUUAUUAUUUCUCUUUUAAUCCGCGCGUCUCGGUCCUCGCCCAGGACGACAGCUCUUCAGGUUCUUCUUCAGGAGUCUGAUCUAACAUCGACGUACGAUGAUCGACGGAGGGGUUUUCGCAAACGGCAUUCGCAUGGGCGGGGAUGUUCUCGAAAACACUGGUAGUUUUUAUUUAAGUCGGUAAACAUGGAUAUCUAACGCUGCUCACAGAAACCAAAUGUCAAUAUAACCGCAAGCAGCGAUUACGGGGCCAAGCGCGGUAAUUAGACGAGCAAAGUAAGGAGAUAAGCGAGCAUGAUUUUAGCAUGGUCGUGAUCUUAUGACGAGCCGUUCAGAAUUCAUGAGCAUUUAUGGGUGCUUUUAUUUCGCACUGUGUUUGGUUUGAAUAUGCUAAAGCGUUCUAGAUGGAGCAUCACGUCCGUUUUGGCGUGCUCACUUUCAGAUUCGUUUGUGCGUCGUUCGUGGACGGUUCGACCGAUCGGCUGGAGUUCAGGGACUUUUCGUCGGCGUGGUCUGCAGAUCUCUUUCGAUUUUGGUGAUGAACGGUUUAGGGGGAGUUUGAAAAAGUUGUUUUUUUUUUUUUUACUUGAUUCAAAAUGGCUGACGGCGAGGUCGGGUUGACCGUGGCCUGAUUGGUAUCGUUGAUCUCAGCCCGAGUUGAAGAAUCUCGGAAGACCAGUCACAUGACCAUGGGCAAAAGUAAUCAAAAGCUAUUAGCAUUUUCAAAAAAAUAGUUCUCAUUGUUGACCAGAAGGUGCCGCUGUUCCAGAACAAUGCAGGUACCCUCGAGUCACGAUGCCAAACGCGAGCCCUGAGUUUUCAAACUAAAACGGGGUCUUCGGCGUUUCCGAAAGUCGAGGUAAAACGCCGGGGUAGCGUAGACGACAGGUGUAA
Molecule: long non-coding RNA, 2187 nt
Organism: Ictalurus punctatus (channel catfish)
Lineage: Eukaryota; Metazoa; Chordata; Actinopteri; Siluriformes; Ictaluridae
Source: Ensembl